RNAcentral lists this ribosomal RNA (379 nucleotides) under uncultured bacterium. RNAcentral describes it as "bacterial SSU rRNA". It matches the Rfam family "Bacterial small subunit ribosomal RNA", at positions 521 to 898 of the family's 1533-position model. The record is from RNAcentral.
UAAUACGUAGGGCGCGAGCGUUGUCCGGAAUUAUUGGGCGUAAAGAGCUCGUAGGUGGCUUGUUGCGUCUGCCGUGAAAGCCCGUGGCUUAACUACGGGUCUGCGGUGGAUACGGGCAGGCUAGAGGCUGGUAGGGGCAAGUGGAAUUCCUGGUGUAGCGGUGAAAUGCGCAGAUAUCAGGAGGAACACCGGUGGCGAAGGCGGCUUGCUGGGCCAGUUCUGACGCUGAGGAGCGAAAGCGUGGGGAGCGAACAGGAUUAGAUACCCUGGUAGUCCACGCUGUAAACGUUGGGCGCUAGGUGUGGGGGUCUUCCACGAUUCCUGUGCCGUAGCUAACGCAUUAAGCGCCCCGCCUGGGGAGUACGGCCGCAAGGCUAAA